RNAcentral lists this long non-coding RNA (240 nucleotides) under Linum usitatissimum (flax). RNAcentral's name for it is "long non-coding RNA (LUSI_LNC000826)". The record is from RNAcentral. Lineage: Eukaryota; Viridiplantae; Streptophyta; Magnoliopsida; Malpighiales; Linaceae.
UUUCGAGAAGAUGUACCAGUACAUGGUCGAGGCAUAGAGGAGUCAACCCUCCUCGAUUAAACCACUCAUUCUUCACCUUCAUAGAAAAUGAAGGAAGCAAGCACGAAUUAGGUGGAAGGAGACGAUUGCAAAAGUGGGGAAGAAAAAUUAUGCUGUCAAGCCGAACCUGGCGCGGCCGAAUCAUCAUGAUGUGGAAAUGGCGAGCAAUUUGAAGAAUCAAAUCUCUCCAGAACUGGUACU